GACGAACGCUGGCGGCGUGCUUAACACAUGCAAGUCGAACGGACGAGUGAGAUAAGUUACUUAACUCACAAGUUAGUGGCGGACGGGUGAGUAACACGUGGAUAAUCUACCUGCAACACCGGGAUAACGCUGUGAAAACGGUGCUAAUACCGGAUACGUUCCCUUGUGCGCAUGUAUGAGGGAAGAAAGCUCAGGCGGUUGCAGAUGAGUCCGCGGCUGAUUAGCUAGUUGGUGAGGUAAAGGCUCACCAAGGCGAUGAUCAGUAGCCGGCCUGAGAGGGUGAACGGCCACACUGGAAUUGAGAUACGGUCCAGACUCCUACGGGAGGCAGCAGUGGGGAAUCUUGGGCAAUGGGCGAAAGCCUGACCCAGCGACGCCGCGUUGGGGAUGAAGCCCUUCGGGGCGUAAACCCAUGUUGUAGGGGACGAAGAAAGUGACGGUACCCUACGAGAAAGCCCCGGCCAACUACGUG
This 472-nucleotide ribosomal RNA is filed under the name uncultured bacterium. Its description in RNAcentral is "bacterial SSU rRNA". It matches the Rfam family "Bacterial small subunit ribosomal RNA", at positions 28 to 507 of the family's 1533-position model. The record is from RNAcentral.